This 406-nucleotide ribosomal RNA is filed under the name uncultured bacterium. RNAcentral's name for it is "partial 16S ribosomal RNA". It matches the Rfam family "Bacterial small subunit ribosomal RNA", at positions 30 to 526 of the family's 1533-position model. The record is from RNAcentral.
AUUGAACGCUGGCGGCAGGCCUAACACAUGCAAGUCGAAGUAGGGGCGGACGGGUGAGUAAUGACUGGGAAACUGCCUGAUGGAUGGGGAUAACUACUGGAAACGGUAGCUAAUACCGCAUACCCACAGAUGUGCCCAGAUGGGUUGAGCUGGAUGGUGGGGUAACGGCUCACCAAGGCGACGAUCCCUAGCUGGUAUGAGAGGAUGACCAGCCACACUGGAACUGAGACACGGGCCUGACUCCUAGGGUAGUCAGCAGUGGGGAAUAUUGGACAAUGGGCGCAAGCCUGAUGCAGCCAUGCCGAGGGUAUGAAGAAGGCCUUAGGGUUGUAAAGUACUUGCAGCGGGGAGGCGUUACCCGCAGAAGAAGCACCGGCUAACUCCGUGCCAGCAGCCGCGGUAAUUC